RNAcentral lists this unclassified non-coding RNA (249 nucleotides) under Hevea brasiliensis (rubber tree). Lineage: Eukaryota; Viridiplantae; Streptophyta; Magnoliopsida; Malpighiales; Euphorbiaceae. The record is from RNAcentral.
CUGGUGAAUGAUGAUUGAGCUAAAAAUAAAAUAAAAAAGCUUUGCUUCCUGUUCUACGCUUGGCUGCUUCUCGUAAUCAGUCCGGACAAAGGAUUACAAGAGAUGGCUGAUGGAUGAAGACCGUGCCUAGAUUCCAGACGCACACAGAGAUAGGCUGCUUGGUGAUGAGGUUAGUCGUGAUUUGCGCCCUCUUACACUCUGUUUGGAUGUGGGCGAAAGAGAGGCGAACAAUGAUAAACAAAGGCAAAU